GAAACCAGGCUGCCACAAGGGAGCCGAGGGUCGGACUGCAUUUUGCAAAGCCCAUGGGGGUGGUCGUCGAUGUGAAUUCUUAGGUUGUACAAAGAGCGCGGAAGGACGCACCGACUUUUGCAUUGCGCAUGGGGGUGGACGUCGUUGCAGUCAUGAAGGAUGCAGCCGUGCUGCAAGAGGGAAGUCUGGAUUAUGCAUUCGGCAUGGUGGGGGGAAGAGAUGCCAGCAUGAGGGCUGUACCAAAAGUGCAGAAGGACUCUCUGGUCUUUGCAUUUCACAUGGAGGUGGCCGGCGCUGUCAGUACCCCCAAUGCACUAAAGGAGCCCAAGGAAGCACCAUGUUUUGCAAGGCACACGGUGGUGGUAAGCGCUGUACCUUUGAAGGAUGCAAUAAGGGGGCAGAGGGGAGCACAGCUUUCUGUAAGGGUCACGGUGGUGGCAAGAGAUGUUCAUUCCAAGGAAAUGGGCUCUGCCCGAAGAGUGUUCAUGGGGGGACACUCUUCUGCGUGGCCCAUGGUGGUGGCAAGAGGUGUGCUGUGGCAGAGUGUACCAGAAGUGCAAGGGGAAGAACUGAUUUUUGUGUACGCCAUGGUGGUGGAAAAAGAUGCAAAGUUGAUGGCUGUGGGAAAAGUGCUCAGGGAAGCACUGAUUUCUGCAAAGCCCACGGCGGAGGGAAGAGAUGCUCUUGGGGUCAGCCUGAUUCUGAAUUUGGCCAAGGUGAUGGUCCUUGUAACUCAUUUGCUAGAGGGAAGACUGGACUUUGUGCAUCUCACGGUGCUCUCAUUCAAGACAAACGCGUCCACGGAGGUGCCACUCUUGGGACUAUAGUCCUGGAUCUAGCGCCAAACCAGUCUGAGAAAAUAAAGGAGAUUGUUAACGUGGAAGACAUCUGUUUUGAUGUCACGAAAAUGCAGAGUAUUGGUAUGACAUCCAGCAAUGACUCUCACAUGAAAUAUCUUGGAUUUAACCAACCCAACGUUCCAGUCGCAGGCAGCUCAUCAUCAGUUUCUGAAGGAAGGGUGCACGGAGGAGGUUUGAUGGCAUUACUAGCAGGCGGUUCUGGCCGUACCUCAAACAGCAGCAAGGAACCAGUUACUGCAUCUGAGCCAGGGAGUUCUUUCAUAGUCUCUAAGAAUAGGAUGCAUGUAUAGCCACACUAUUUCUCAAUUUGGUUUGCAGGUCUGCAUCGCUCCACCGCUAUGUUUGUGUCCUCUUUCAUUUUAGUUUCUUAUGUUAUAUUGGGUUUGAACUGGAACUGCUACUGCUAAAUGUAUCUGUAUCAAUAAGGGGAGAAACCCCACUAGGGUCAUUGGUAUUUGUACAUACCUUUCUUUUCAUGUAACAUUUGGUCUUGUGAAUAUUUCGGACUUGUUGUAGUACAACUUUUAGUAGUUUUUCAUUCUGGAGUUUGAUAU
RNAcentral lists this unclassified non-coding RNA (1414 nucleotides) under Hevea brasiliensis (rubber tree). Lineage: Eukaryota; Viridiplantae; Streptophyta; Magnoliopsida; Malpighiales; Euphorbiaceae. The record is from RNAcentral.